UGUUUUUAGAGGUUUAAUUGAUCAAUUAAUUACUUGCUGCUGUAGACACCAAAAAAAUCUGGUCAUGAACUAGAGAGAGAUGUGUCAGUGUUACUUAAGCCUGGUUGAUUUAAUGCACUGCUGAUUAUAUAAGGUCAUAUAACAAUUUAGGUUCCAAGGGGAUAUAAUGGUUAUCUGGUCAAACCCUGCAAUCAGCUAGGAUAUCUUCAACAACCAGGUUGCUCAGAGCCCUGUCCACAUUGAUCUUGGAUGUUUCCAAUGGUGGAAGCUGCAUUUGCAGCUUCUCUGUGCAACAUGUUCCAUCCAGUUCCUUACCACCCUCACAGUGAAGAAUUUCUUCCUGAUACCUAAUCUAAAAGGAGGAUUAUGUUGGUAGGAGGUAGAGGUAGGCUGCUGUGCUUAACUCAGCUUGGGAUGGAAGAUGCUGCCUUGCAGUAUCCUGGUCAGGAAGAGAAGAGCAGCUGUUGUGCCAGGUCAGGGUGUGAUGCUGCGGCUGCAGGUAGGACUCUGGGGCUCUGCUGCUGUGGUACAGCUUCUCCAAGGAGGAAGACUUUUUCUCCUGCACUCAUUUGGAGAAAGAGAAGAAAGCACAGAAUGUGGAGAGUCUUUUAACCAUGAUCCCAUACAGCUGAGGCUGCCAAAGUUUGGGAAGUAUGUUUUUUACUCUUUUGUUACCUCCACUGUGAACUUCCAAAAAACAUAGAUGCCUCACUCCUCACAGCUUGGCACAUCUGGCAGGACCUGCUUGGGAAGAAAGUGGAGAGACUGGGGAGUUGGUUGCCUAGGUAAUGAUGCUCUGCAGAAAGCCUUGUCAGGUUCUGUUUGUUGCUGAAGCCACCCUUUGUUUAAACAUGCUACCUCCAAGUUUUUCACAAAAAAAAAACCCACAGUGCUUUUUCAGCAGAGUUGAUGGGAUAGGAUUUAAAAACAAAAGUGGGGGGAGAAGGAUGGGACUCUUUUCUUGUAUCAGAAUUGAGAUGCAAAAUUUUUCAUGCACUUAAAUCAGCCUCUUUUCCAGAAAGGAAGUAAAUGUAUUUAUUAAUGUAAUAAAGGUAAGGCAAGUGUGCA
RNAcentral lists this long non-coding RNA (1068 nucleotides) under Cyanistes caeruleus (blue tit). RNAcentral's name for it is "lncRNA (ENSCCEG00000015858.1)". Lineage: Eukaryota; Metazoa; Chordata; Aves; Passeriformes; Paridae. The record is from RNAcentral.